GACAGAGGGUGCAAACGGUUGUUCGGAAUUACUGGGCGUAAAGCGUGUGUAGGCGGCCACGUAAGUCGGAUGUCGAAAGGCCCCAGGCUCAACCUGGGAAGUGCACUCGAUACUGCGUGGCUGAGUAUCGGAGAGGUUGGUGGAAUUCUCGGUGUAGAGGUGAAAUUCGUAGAUAUCGAGAGGAACACCGGUGGCGGAAGGCGGCCAACUGGACGAAUA
RNAcentral lists this ribosomal RNA (219 nucleotides) under uncultured bacterium. Its description in RNAcentral is "partial 16S ribosomal RNA". It matches the Rfam family "Bacterial small subunit ribosomal RNA", at positions 524 to 739 of the family's 1533-position model. The record is from RNAcentral.